RNAcentral lists this ribosomal RNA (1469 nucleotides) under metagenome. Its description in RNAcentral is "bacterial SSU rRNA". It matches the Rfam family "Bacterial small subunit ribosomal RNA". The record is from RNAcentral.
AGAGUUUGAUCAUGGCUCAGGACGAACGCUGGCGGCACGCUUAACACAUGCAAGUCGAACGAGAGAAGAGGAGCUUGCUUUUCUGAUCUAGUGGCGGACGGGUGAGUAACACGUGAGCAAUCUGCCUUUCAGAGGGGGAUACCGAUUGGAAACGAUCGUUAAUACCGCAUAACAUAAUUGAACCGCAUGAUUUGAUUAUCAAAGAUUUAUCGCUGAAAGAUGGGCUCGCGUCUGAUUAGCUAGUUGGUAAGGUAACGGCUUACCAAGGCGACGAUCAGUAGCCGGACUGAGAGGUUGAUCGGCCACAUUGGGACUGAGACACGGCCCAGACUCCUACGGGAGGCAGCAGUGGGGAAUAUUGCACAAUGGAGGAAACUCUGAUGCAGCGAUGCCGCGUGAGGGAAGAAGGUUUUAGGAUUGUAAACCUCUGUCUUCAGGGACGAAAAAAGACGGUACCUGAGGAGGAAGCUCCGGCUAACUACGUGCCAGCAGCCGCGGUAAUACGUAGGGAGCGAGCGUUGUCCGGAAUUACUGGGUGUAAAGGGAGCGUAGGCGGGAUCGCAAGUCAGAUGUGAAAACUAUGGGCUUAACCCAUAAACUGCAUUUGAAACUGUGGUUCUUGAGUGAAGUAGAGGUAAGCGGAAUUCCUAGUGUAGCGGUGAAAUGCGUAGAUAUUAGGAGGAACAUCAGUGGCGAAGGCGGCUUACUGGGCUCUAACUGACGCUGAGGCUCGAAAGCGUGGGGAGCAAACAGGAUUAGAUACCCUGGUAGUCCACGCCGUAAACGAUGAUUACUAGGUGUGGGGGGACUGACCCCUUCCGUGCCGCAGCAAACGCAAUAAGUAAUCCACCUGGGGAGUACGACCGCAAGGUUGAAACUCAAAGGAAUUGACGGGGGCCCGCACAAGCAGUGGAGUAUGUGGAUUAAUUCGAAGCAACGCGAAGAACCUUACCAGGUCUUGACAUCGUAUGCAUAGCUCAGAGAUGAGUGAAAUCUCUUCGGAGACAUAUAGACAGGUGGUGCAUGGUUGUCGUCAGCUCGUGUCGUGAGAUGUUGGGUUAAGUCCCGCAACGAGCGCAACCCUUACUGUUAGUUGCUACGCAAGAGCACUCUAGCAGGACCGCCGUUGACAAAACGGAGGAAGGGGGGAUGACGUCAAAUCAUCAUGCCCCUUAUGACCUGGGCCUCACACGUACUACAAUGGCUGUCAACAGAGGGAAGCAAAGCCGCGAGGUGGAGCGAACCUCUAAAAGCAGUCUUAGUUCGGAUUGUAGGCUGCAACCCGCCUACAUGAAGUCGGAAUUGCUAGUAAUCGCAGAUCAGCAUGCUGCGGUGAAUACGUUCCCGGGCCUUGUACACACCGCCCGUCACGCCAUGGGAGUCGGUAACACCCGAAGCCUGUAGUCUAACCGCAAGGAGGACGCAGUCGAAGGUGGGAUUGAUGACUGGGGUGAAGUCGUAACAAGGUA